GAUAAAUGCUGGCGGCGUGCCUAAUACAUGCAAGUCGAGCGAACGGACGAGAAGCUUGCUUCUCUGAUGUUAGCGGCGGACGGGUGAGUAACACGUGGAUAACCUACCUAUAAGACUGGGAUAACUUCGGGAAACCGGAGCUAAUACCGGAUAAUAUUUUGAACCGCAUGGUUCAAAAGUGAAAGACGGUCUUGCUGUCACUUAUAGAUGGAUCCGCGCUGCAUUAGCUAGUUGGUAAGGUAACGGCUUACCAAGGCAACGAUGCAUAGCCGACCUGAGAGGGUGAUCGGCCACACUGGAACUGAGACACGGUCCAGACUCCUACGGGAGGCAGCAGUAGGGAAUCUUCCGCAAUGGGCGAAAGCCUGACGGAGCAACGCCGCGUGAGUGAUGAAGGUCUUCGGAUCGUAAAACUCUGUUAUUAGGGAAGAACAUAUGUGUAAGUAACUGUGCACAUCUUGACGGUACCUAAUCAGAAAGCCACGGCUAACUACGUGCCAGCAGCCGCGGUAAUACGUAGGUGGCAAGCGUUAUCCGGAAUUAUUGGGCGUAAAGCGCGCGUAGGCGGUUUUUUAAGUCUGAUGUGAAAGCCCACGGCUCAACCGUGGAGGGUCAUUGGAAACUGGAAAACUUGAGUGCAGAAGAGGAAAGUGGAAUUCCAUGUGUAGCGGUGAAAUGCGCAGAGAUAUGGAGGAACACCAGUGGCGAAGGCGACUUUCUGGUCUGUAACUGACGCUGAUGUGCGAAAGCGUGGGGAUCAAACAGGAUUAGAUACCCUGGUAGUCCACGCCGUAAACGAUGAGUGCUAAGUGUUAGGGGGUUUCCGCCCCUUAGUGCUGCAGCUAACGCAUUAAGCACUCCGCCUGGGGAGUACGACCGCAAGGUUGAAACUCAAAGGAAUUGACGGGGACCCGCACAAGCGGUGGAGCAUGUGGUUUAAUUCGAAGCAACGCGAAGAACCUUACCAAAUCUUGACAUCCUUUGACAACUCUAGAGAUAGAGCCUUCCCCUUCGGGGGACAAAGUGACAGGUGGUGCAUGGUUGUCGUCAGCUCGUGUCGUGAGAUGUUGGGUUAAGUCCCGCAACGAGCGCAACCCUUAAGCUUAGUUGCCAUCAUUAAGUUGGGCACUCUAAGUUGACUGCCGGUGACAAACCGGAGGAAGGUGGGGAUGACGUCAAAUCAUCAUGCCCCUUAUGAUUUGGGCUACACACGUGCUACAAUGGACAAUACAAAGGGCAGCGAAACCGCGAGGUCAAGCAAAUCCCAUAAAGUUGUUCUCAGUUCGGAUUGUAGUCUGCAACUCGACUACAUGAAGCUGGAAUCGCUAGUAAUCGUAGAUCAGCAUGCUACGGUGAAUACGUUCCCGGGUCU
RNAcentral lists this ribosomal RNA (1372 nucleotides) under uncultured bacterium. RNAcentral describes it as "bacterial SSU rRNA". It matches the Rfam family "Bacterial small subunit ribosomal RNA", at positions 28 to 1381 of the family's 1533-position model. The record is from RNAcentral.